RNAcentral lists this long non-coding RNA (282 nucleotides) under Populus trichocarpa (black cottonwood). RNAcentral's name for it is "long non-coding RNA (PTRI_LNC001147)". The record is from RNAcentral. Lineage: Eukaryota; Viridiplantae; Streptophyta; Magnoliopsida; Malpighiales; Salicaceae.
CUUUCUUGAAGGCUUGUUUCACCAAAGUUUUGUUGCUGCUCCUCAUAAGCAUUGUUGUUGUAGUGGUUAUUGGUGGUGGUGGUGGUGGUGGAGUCAGUUGGAUAAUUGGUGUAGGUUUCUUGGGUUUGGGUCUGGGUUUUGUAUGGCUGGUAAGUGGUUGUGGUGUAGGGUGCAUUUGUUAGUUUAGUAGUGGUGGGGAACUGGGAGGAUUCUUGACCAUAUAGACCAUAGCCAUUUUGGGUGUCUGGGAUAAAGGCUGGAUCUAGUUCUUGCUUGUUAAAG